Molecule: ribosomal RNA, 1465 nt
Filed under: Salmonella enterica
Lineage: Bacteria; Pseudomonadati; Pseudomonadota; Gammaproteobacteria; Enterobacterales; Enterobacteriaceae
Description: partial 23S ribosomal RNA
Rfam family: Bacterial large subunit ribosomal RNA
Source: RNAcentral
AAUCCAUAGGUUAAUGAGGCGAACCGGGGGAACUGAAACAUCUAAGUACCCCGAGGAAAAGAAAUCAACCGAGAUUCCCCCAGUAGCGGCGAGCGAACGGGGAGGAGCCCAGAGCCUGAAUCAGCAUGUGUGUUAGUGGAAGCGUCUGGAAAGGCGCGCGAUACAGGGUGACAGCCCCGUACACAAAAGCGCAUGUGCUGUGAGCUCGAUGAGUAGGGCGGGACACGUGGUAUCCUGUCUGAAUAUGGGGGGACCAUCCUCCAAGGCUAAAUACUCCUGACUGACCGAUAGUGAACCAGUACCGUGAGGGAAAGGCGAAAAGAACCCCGGCGAGGGGAGUGAAAAAGAACCUGAAACCGUGUACGUACAAGCAGUGGGAGCACCCUUCGGGGUGUGACUGCGUACCUUUUGUAUAAUGGGUCAGCGACUUAUAUUCUGUAGCAAGGUUAACCGUAUAGGGGAGCCGGAGGGAAACCGAGUCUUAAUUGGGCGUUAAGUUGCAGGGUAUAGACCCGAAACCCGGUGAUCUAGCCAUGGGCAGGUUGAAGGUUGGGUAACACUAACUGGAGGACCGAACCGACUAAUGUUGAAAAAUUAGCGGAUGACCUGUGGCUGGGGGUGAAAGGCCAAUCAAACCGGGAGAUAGCUGGUUCUCCCCGAAAGCUAUUUAGGUAGCGCCUCGUGAAUUCAUCUCCGGGGGUAGAGCACUGUUUCGGCUAGGGGGCCAUCCCGGCUUACCAACCCGAUGCAAACUGCGAAUACCGGAGAAUGUUAUCACGGGAGACACACGGCGGGUGCUAACGUCCGUCGUGAAGAGGGAAACAACCCAGACCGCCAGCUAAGGUCCCAAAGUCAUGGUUAAGUGGGAAACGAUGUGGGAAGGCCCAGACAGCCAGGAUGUUGGCUUAGAAGCAGCCAUCAUUUAAAGAAAGCGUAAUAGCUCACUGGUCGAGUCGGCCUGCGCGGAAGAUGUAACGGGGCUAAACCAUGCACCGAAGCUGCGGCAGCGAACGUAUCACCCAAGACAACUUUACGGAGUUGACGAUUGACGGAGCGAAGCGACGUCAAAGCGUUCAUUAAAGUCGAGUUGGCUUAGGGAUACGUUCGUUGGGUAGGGGAGCGUUCUGUAAGCCUGUGAAGGUGUGUCGUGAGGCAUGCUGGAGGUAUCAGAAGUGCGAAUGCUGACAUAAGUAACGAUAAAGCGGGUGAAAAGCCCGCUCGCCGGAAGACCAAGGGUUCCUGUCCAACGUUAAUCGGGGCAGGGUGAGUCGACCCCUAAGGCGAGGCCGAAAGGCGUAGUCGAUGGGAAACGGGUUAAUAUUCCCGUACUUGGUGUUACUGCGAAGGGGGGACGGAGAAGGCUAUGUUGGCCGGGCGACGGUUGUCCCGGUUUAAGCGUGUAGGUGUGUGUUCCAGGUAAAUCCGGUUCACUUUAACACUGAGGCGUGACGACGAGGCACUACGG